AAUCCCAUUUUAGUGCCUUUCAUUCGCACCACCAUGAAUGUUCGGCUAUGCUAAUGGGAUAGAAAAGACACUGUCAUGGUCUGAAGGUGUGGCUAGCUGACUGUGCACCCCACUGAAUAAAAUGACAGAAUAUUGCAAU
Molecule: small nucleolar RNA, 139 nt
Organism: Lates calcarifer (barramundi perch)
Lineage: Eukaryota; Metazoa; Chordata; Actinopteri; Centropomidae
Source: Ensembl